This 253-nucleotide ribosomal RNA is filed under the name uncultured bacterium. RNAcentral's name for it is "partial 16S ribosomal RNA". It matches the Rfam family "Bacterial small subunit ribosomal RNA", at positions 524 to 776 of the family's 1533-position model. The record is from RNAcentral.
UACGAAGGGGGCUAGCGUUACUCGGAAUUACUGGGCGUAAAGCGCAUGUAGGCGGACUUACAAGUCAGGGGUGAAAUCCCGGGGCUCAACCUCGGAACUGCCUUUGAAACUGUAAGUCUUGAGUAUGAUAGAGGAUAGUGGAAUUCUUAGUGUAGAGGUGAAAUUCGUAGAUAUUAAGAGGAACACCAGUGGCGAAGGCGACUAUCUGGGUCAUUACUGACGCUGAGAUGCGAAAGCGUGGGGAGCAAACGGG